ACAACUUGAUUCAACUCAACCGUCGCCGCCUCCAUGUUAAAAGCCUACACGCCCUUGCCAUCGAUAGCAAGCGUGGCCGCCUGCUUGCGCCUCCACUCUGGGAGCUGGCCGCUCCCAAUUUACUUCUCCCCGAAGACAUGUCUCUUAAUAUGACAGGUUCAUCUCAAAAUUUUGCUCACACCCACCCGAUUUGAUUUGAUUUUGUUGGAUUGUACCUGCCGCUUGGUCAAAUCCCUCCGAAUUGAUUGUAUUAUGCGUGGCUGAGACCCUCCCCUGAUCGGAAUCUCAACAGCACCUUGAGCCGCCCCUUCUCUUCUCCAAACAUCUCUCUCCACCAUAAGAUGGGAUGGAUCUGGUGAUGCCAUCUUCACCUCCGGUGUAUAAUUGAGGUUAGUCCAGAACUCCUGAUUCCCCCAAUCCCAGCAGUUGUAUUUCUGCUUAACAACCAGUAUGUUCUACAUCUGGACUAUUAUUAUUUUUACAUGUCUCUCGGGAGUAUUUUCAUGUACCUUUGCACUUCCUUUUGAUGGAAACUCGGAAGUUUAAAAUGCAGAAAAAAGGUCUGCCAAACUAUACAUACAGAAAGGAAUCUAAGACUUGGCUGUUUAUGCACAGUACACGGAAGGUGUGAUAUUUCUCAACAUCGCACAAUCUCCAUCCAAAAAAGUCUUACAUCAUGUAAGGGAAGUAGUCUCUUCAUGGAAUUCUGUAGGUUUAGACGAUGAUGUGGCAAGAGAUAUAUACACGUUGAUGAUCUGACUUCAAACUUGAUCUUGAGUGUAGAAGUGACAUUGGAUAAGUAAUAUUAAGUUCCAAAGAAAAGAUCAAAUGGACAAUGUAACCUGGUGUAGUUUUCCACUACCAAUAUAUAUUUGAAUUUAUCAUAUUAUGUAAGUCUUGCAUAUUCUUUUGUUUCUGUAUGAAGAAUUACUAGGCAUGAACUUUUUCGUACAAAAAGUACAUUUGUCCCUAAACCUUUGAUAUGAAUUCCACUUAAAGUACUAAGAGCUUUUGAUUUAUCUCUUUGAUUUUGCCUUCUACAUACCUAGCUCUAAUAACCAAUUUGGCUGUUGAGUAACAAUUUGUCAUCUUUACCACUUUUGUGCGAGAUUAUAUUCUUAACAUGAUAUUUUGCUUCAUGUACAGUUUCUCGAGUUGAUAUGUCAUGUGUGUA
Lolium rigidum is the source of this 1174-nucleotide long non-coding RNA. RefSeq lists it as uncharacterized. The transcript has 3 exons. The record is from RefSeq and is a predicted model, not a curated record. NCBI's taxonomy places the organism in Eukaryota, Viridiplantae, Streptophyta, Magnoliopsida, Poales, Poaceae.